UACGGGGGGAGCAAGCGUUGUUCGGAUUUACUGGGCGUAAAGGGCUCGUAGGCGGCCAACUAAGUCAUACGUGAAAUCCCUCAGCUUAACUGGGGAACUGCGUGUGAUACUGGAUGGCUUGGAUUUGGGAGAGGGAUGCGGAAUUCCAGGUGUAGCGGUGAAAUGCGUAGAUAUCUGGAGGGACACCGGUGGCGAAGGCGGCAUCCUGGACCAAUACUGACGCUGAGGAGCGAAAGCCAGGGGAGCAAACGGG
This 253-nucleotide ribosomal RNA is filed under the name uncultured bacterium. RNAcentral's name for it is "partial 16S ribosomal RNA". It matches the Rfam family "Bacterial small subunit ribosomal RNA", at positions 524 to 776 of the family's 1533-position model. The record is from RNAcentral.